AAAACGACUCUCGGCAACGGAUAUCUCGGCUCUUGCAUCGAUGAAGAACGUAGCGAAAUGCGAUACUUGGUGUGAAUUGCAGAAUCCCGUGAACCAUCGAGUCUUUGAACGCAAGUUGCGCCCGAAGCCAUUAGGCCGAGGGCACGCCUGCCUGGGUGUCACUA
Molecule: ribosomal RNA, 164 nt
Filed under: Pictetia marginata
Lineage: Eukaryota; Viridiplantae; Streptophyta; Magnoliopsida; Fabales; Fabaceae
Description: 5.8S ribosomal RNA
Rfam family: 5.8S ribosomal RNA
About the family: 5.8S ribosomal RNA (5.8S rRNA) is a component of the large subunit of the eukaryotic ribosome. It is transcribed by RNA polymerase I as part of the 45S precursor that also contains 18S and 28S rRNA.
Source: RNAcentral